UUUGAUCCUGACUCAGGACGAACGCUGGCGGCGUGCCUAAUACAUGCAAGUAGAACGCUGAAGAGAGGAGCUUGCUCUUCUUGGAUGAGUUGCGAACGGGUGAGUAACGCGUAGGUAACCUGCCUUGUAGCGGGGGAUAACUAUUGGAAACGAUAGCUAAUACCGCAUAACAAUGGAUGACACAUGUCAUUUAUUUGAAAGGGGCAAUUGCUCCACUACAAGAUGGACCUGCGUUGUAUUAGCUAGUAGGUGAGGUAACGGCUCACCUAGGCGACGAUACAUAGCCGACCUGAGUGGGUGAUCGGCCACACUGGAACUGAGACACGGCCCAGACACCUACGGGAGGCAGCAGUAGGGAAUCUUCGGCAAUGGGGGCAACCCUGACCGAGCAACGCCGCGUGAGUGAAGAAGGUUUUCGGAUCGUAAAGCUCUGUUGUAAGUCAAGAACGAGUGUGAGAGUGGAAAGUUCACACUGUGACGGUAGCUUACCAGAAAGGGACGGCUAACUACGUGCCAGCAGCCGCGGUAAUACGUAGGUCCCGAGCGUUGUCCGGAUUUAUUGGGCGUAAAGCGAGCGCAGGCGGUUUGAUAAGUCUGAAGUUAAAGGCUGUGGCUCAACCAUAGUUCGCUUUGGAAACUGUCAAACUUGAGUGCAGAAGGGGAGAGUGGAAUUCCAUGUGUAGCGGUGAAAUGCGUAGAUAUAUGGAGGACACCGGUGGCGAAAGCGGCUCUCUGGUCUGUAACUGACGCUGAGGCUCGAAAGCGUGGGGAGCGAACAGGAUUA
Molecule: ribosomal RNA, 784 nt
Filed under: uncultured Streptococcus sp.
Lineage: Bacteria; Bacillati; Bacillota; Bacilli; Lactobacillales; Streptococcaceae
Description: bacterial SSU rRNA
Rfam family: Bacterial small subunit ribosomal RNA
Source: RNAcentral